RNAcentral lists this non-coding RNA (69 nucleotides) under Lingulaulax polyedra. Lineage: Eukaryota; Dinophyceae; Gonyaulacales; Lingulodiniaceae. The record is from RNAcentral.
CGUUGCAGUGGCUUCCGCUUGAACGGGGCCAGGGCUGGAACCUAGCUGCCCUGGACGCUGUGGCUCGAG